AUUGAACGCUGGCGGCAGGCCUAACACAUGCCAGUCGAACGGUAACAGGAAACAGCUUGCUGUUUCGCUGACGAGUGGCGGACGGGUGAGUAAUGUCUGGGAAACUGCCUGAUGGAGGGGGAUAACUACUGGAAACGGUAGCUAAUACCGCAUAACGUCGCAAGACCAAAGAGGGGGACCCUCGGGCCCCUUGCCAUCGGAUGUGCCCAGAUGGGAUUAGCUUGUUGGUGGGGUAACGGCUCACCAAGGCGACGAUCCCUAGCUGGUCUGAGAGGAUGACCAGCCACACUGGAACUGAGACACGGUCCAGACUCCUACGGGAGGCAGCAGUGGGGAAUAUUGCACAAUGGGCGCAAGCCUGAUGCAGCCAUGCCGCGUGUAUGAAGAAGGCCUUCGGGUUGUAAAGUACUUUCAGCGGGGAGGAAGGGAGUAAAGUUAAUACCUUUGCUCAUUGACGUUACCCGCAGAAGAAGCACCGGCUAACUCCGUG
This 490-nucleotide ribosomal RNA is filed under the name uncultured bacterium. RNAcentral's name for it is "partial 16S ribosomal RNA". It matches the Rfam family "Bacterial small subunit ribosomal RNA", at positions 30 to 507 of the family's 1533-position model. The record is from RNAcentral.